RNAcentral lists this non-coding RNA (30 nucleotides) under Homo sapiens (human). The record is from RNAcentral. Lineage: Eukaryota; Metazoa; Chordata; Mammalia; Primates; Hominidae.
UGCCUGUCCAAUUUGAUUGCUAGGGUGGUC